Molecule: long non-coding RNA, 681 nt
Organism: Ahaetulla prasina
Lineage: Eukaryota; Metazoa; Chordata; Lepidosauria; Squamata; Colubridae
Exons: 3
Source: RefSeq, a predicted model, not a curated record
AUCAGUUUUGCUUGUUGAUAGCUGAAAACGAUCCUUGCGUCAGUGGUGACUUCUGCGUGAUGCGAUCUGCAUAGCCAAAUGUAUGGCAGUCUUCUUCUUAGCCAACAUGUUGGAUGGUAGAUGCCAUCAGAGAGAAAUGGGGAAGAACCUUCAGCUCAUGGGGUGGGACAAAACACAAUUUUCCCAACGAAAUCCAGUAGUCAGAUAAUUGGAAAUGAGGAGAGUUUAACCUUCAUUCUCAGUUAACCUUCUACCACAAUGGCUUGGACUAGAAGACCUCCAAGGUAUCCCUGUUAUUCUGUUAUUUCUUGACCUCUUCUACCUCAAAGGGUGGAUAUUUGCCUUUACUCCAGUAGUGGGUUUCUACCAGUUCAUCCCAGUUUGGGUGAACUGGUAGUGGCGGCGGCAGAGGCUCCUCCCACCCGCCCGGAUGUCACCACAGACAUCACGGAUGUCAUCACAGAAGGUUCUGCGCAUGCACAGAAGCGUUGCACGUGCUCACAGUUCUGAACCGGUAGCGAAGAAAUCCUAUACAUUAGCCUAUGGCAGUCUUCCCCAGCCAACGACCUGCCUCCUCCCCCCAGAUGUGUUGAGACAACAUCAGGCUUUUCAGCGCACAAGCUUUGUAUCCUAGCAUUCUUGUUGCUGAGGGGUUCAUCCUCAUGUCUACCUAACUAUGGC